GCGCCUCUUGAUCGACGAUGAAGUUGACGUCGCUCGAUGAUUAUGGCGCCGGAGAAGGAUAUCGAUGGUCGCAAUUCUUGCAGUUGAAGUACUCAACACUUUUGAAACCGGUUGGGUGCUUCAGUGAAAGCUAAGAAGCUUGGUUAAGGAGGAUACAGUGAGUUAUGUAAGGGAGCCUUACCUGAUGGUGGAGAAACUGCAAUAAAAUUUUGAACUUACUCAUUAGUAGAAAGGACCGAUCCUCACUUGACAGUCUUCUUGGAGCUGGGGCAAGGUUCCUUCUGCAAUUGAUUGGUGGCACUGAUCCCUGUUACAUUGAAGCAUGCCAUUUAGCUGAUUCUAUUGAUGGGCACUGAUCCCUGUUACUUUACAGGUCAUGUCUGCUGUUUGAGAUAAUAUUUUCCGUUCAUUGUAAGCGAUUAUGUUCUGGAACUUUUGCCAUCAUGGUUCUUCUAAUAUAUAUUUGUAGUCUCAUCAAUCAGGUCAACAAAUAUCAUUUCGUCAUUAGCUCCAUAAUUAUCGUGUCCAAGUUUUUAGUUAUUCCAGGGAAGUGAAUUCAACUUGAAUUUGAAUGGUUGCGUAGAUGCACAAUAUGGGAGUCCCAACCGUUCCAAUUUCAUAUUGAAUACCCUGCACUUGAACGACUAUUCUUUGACCAUCACAAUAGCUGGAGCUAGUGACGGCUACAAUAUUUGUUGAUCUGGUAUGUAUUAUUUUCUUGACCUGGUUGAUUCAGUUUUUUGGUUCAGCUUCUGAUGCUAUCAAUUGCAAUUCAGAUUGGAUUUAGAUGUCUGGUUGGAUAACCUCGCUGAUGGGGCAGUUGAGUAGAUAUCUCAAUGGAACGGAUAUUUAUCGGACUGUCUUUUUUUUCUUUUUACUUUUUAAUCUCUGAUUCACUGUAGCUUUACUUCUUUUUUGUCACUCAUCUGGCACAAAAAAGUGGGCGUAAAUUUUAGUA
Non-coding RNA from Prunus mume (Japanese apricot), 958 nucleotides. The record is from RefSeq and is a predicted model, not a curated record. Lineage: Eukaryota; Viridiplantae; Streptophyta; Magnoliopsida; Rosales; Rosaceae.